This 821-nucleotide ribosomal RNA is filed under the name uncultured Fluviicola sp. RNAcentral describes it as "bacterial SSU rRNA". It matches the Rfam family "Bacterial small subunit ribosomal RNA", at positions 45 to 864 of the family's 1533-position model. Lineage: Bacteria; Pseudomonadati; Bacteroidota; Flavobacteriia; Flavobacteriales; Crocinitomicaceae. The record is from RNAcentral.
GGCCUAACACAUGCAAGUGGAGGGGCGGCACAAAUUAGUUACUAAUUGGUGGCGACCGGCGCACGGGUGCGUAACGCGUAUGCAACCUACCCUGUACUGGGGGAUAGCCCGGAGAAAUUCGGAUUAAGACCCCAUAGUAUUACGGAAUCGCAUGGUUCUGUAAUUAAAGGUUACGGUACAGGAUGGGCAUGCGUCCUAUUAGCUAGAUGGUGAGGUAACGGCUCACCAUGGCUACGAUAGGUAGGGGGCCUGAGAGGGUGAUCCCCCACACUGGUACUGAGACACGGACCAGACUCCUACGGGAGGCAGCAGUGAGGAAUAUUGGUCAAUGGGCGAAAGCCUGAACCAGCCAUGCCGCGUGCAGGAAGACGGUCCUAUGGAUUGUAAACUGCUUUUAUUUGGGAAUAAACCUCUGGUCGUGACCGGAGCUGAAGGUACCAAAUGAAUAAGCACCGGCUAACUCCGUGCCAGCAGCCGCGGUAAUACGGAGGGUGCAAGCGUUAUCCGGAAUCAUUGGGUUUAAAGGGUCCGCAGGCGGGCUUAUAAGUCAGUGGUGAAAGCCUACAGCUUAACUGUAGAACUGCCAUUGAUACUGUAAGUCUUGAAUUCGGUCGAAGUGGGCGGAAUGUGUAGUGUAGCGGUGAAAUGCUUAGAUAUUACACAGAACACCGAUAGCGAAGGCAGCUCACUAGGCCUGGAUUGACGCUCAGGGACGAAAGCGUGGGGAUCAAACAGGAUUAGAUACCCUGGUAGUCCACGCCGUAAACUAUGAUUACUCGUUUUCGGCGAUAUACUGUCGGAGACUAAGCGAAAGUGAUAAG